ACGUCAAGUCCUCAUGGCCCUUACGGGCUGGGCUACACACGUGCUACAAUGGCGGUGACAGUGGGUUGCUACCUUGCAAGAGGAAGCUAAUCCCCAAAAACCGUCUCAGUUCGGAUUGUUCUCUGCAACUCGAGAGCAUGAAGUUGGAAUCGCUAGUAAUCGUGGAUCAGCGUGCCACGGUGAAUACGUUCUCGGGCCUU
Molecule: ribosomal RNA, 200 nt
Filed under: uncultured prokaryote
Description: partial 16S ribosomal RNA
Rfam family: Bacterial small subunit ribosomal RNA
Source: RNAcentral